RNAcentral lists this ribosomal RNA (480 nucleotides) under uncultured bacterium. RNAcentral describes it as "partial 16S ribosomal RNA". It matches the Rfam family "Bacterial small subunit ribosomal RNA", at positions 29 to 507 of the family's 1533-position model. The record is from RNAcentral.
AUGCACGCUAGCGGCAGGCCUCAUCCAUGCAAGUCGGACGGGAUUCAGGAGCUUGCUUCUGAUGAGAGUGGCGCACGGGUGCGUAACACGUAUGUAACCUACCUUUAUCAGGGGGAUAGCCUCUCGGAAGAGAGAUUAAGCCCGCAUAAAAUCACAGCACAGCAUUGUGUAAUGAUCAAAUAUUUAUAGGAUAAAGAUGGGCAUGCGGAACAUUAGCUAGAUGGCGGGGUAACGGCCCACCAUGGCGACGAUGUUUAGGGGAUCUGAGAGGAUGGCCCCCCACACUGGUACUGAGACACGGACCAGACUCCUACGGGAGGCAGCAGUAAGGAAUAUUGGUCAAUGGGCGGAAGCCUGAACCAGCCAUGCCGCGUGCAGGAAGACGGCCCUACGGGUUGUAACUGCUUUUAUACGGGAAUAAACCCAGAUACGUGUAUACGGCUGAAUGUACUGUAAGAAUAAGGAUCGGCUAACUCCGUG